Long non-coding RNA from Cervus elaphus (red deer), 635 nucleotides. RefSeq lists it as uncharacterized. The transcript is spliced from 3 exons. NCBI's taxonomy places the organism in Eukaryota, Metazoa, Chordata, Mammalia, Artiodactyla, Cervidae. The record is from RefSeq and is a predicted model, not a curated record.
UAAGGCCCAUUUGACUUCACAUUCCAGGAUGUCUGGCUCUAGAUACUUCUCAUUACAGCUUAUCAUAAGAUAGGCUAUCUUGAAUACAGCUCCUGUGCCAUACUAUUCUCCCAAAACAGAGCCUGAGUCAGGGACUUGGGAGGUCAUCCCAGCGAGCAGGAAUGAGGGAUCUCGUAAGGAAGAAAAGCCGAUACAAGCAUGUGUUGUCAACAUCACCGCUCUCAACAACGGAGCUCAGUCCCAUGGACACCUCUGAAAAGUUUACAGAAUGCCUCUCAGAAUCCUCCACUCUAAAGAGGAGAGGCAGUAGCAAUGCUUUUUCUUUUCUUUUCUUCCUACUUUACUGAGAUAUAAUUAGCAUACAACAUUUUGUAAGUUUGAAGUGUACAAGGUGAUAUUUGAUAUGUGGUCAUAUUGCAAACUGAUUAUCACAAUAAAGUUAACUAACACAUCCAUCAUCUCACAUAAUUAUAAUUUUGUGUGUGUGUAAGAACAUUUAAAAUUUACUUUCUUAGCAACUUUCAAACAUAUAUGCAGUAUUAUUAACUAUAGUCACCAUGCUGAAUAUUAUAUCCCCAGAAUAUAUUCAUUUUAUAACUGGCAAGAUGGACCCUUUGACCAGACCUCCUGAUUAC